This 390-nucleotide long non-coding RNA is filed under the name Mustela putorius furo (domestic ferret). Its description in RNAcentral is "lncRNA (ENSMPUG00000029944.1)". The record is from RNAcentral. Lineage: Eukaryota; Metazoa; Chordata; Mammalia; Carnivora; Mustelidae.
CUCCUUUUCAGUAUAAAAUAAGGACUUACUCAAAUUCUGAUCUCGAACUGGAACUGAAACUUGGUGAUUUGAAGAAGUCAAAACAAUGGCAGGGCUAUUUUUCCUCUGCACCCAUAUCACCCACAUGCCUCUUGAUUUUUCCAGGAGCAGAGGUCUCUUGACGGCCCGUCUAGAGGUCAGUGGUCCAAGGACUGCCUGUACAUUAUUAUGGAAUAACAUCUACCAGAGAAAGCCCAGUAACAGAGGUGGUGGAGCAGACUCUGUGAUGGAAGACGUAAUGGGAAAGGGUCAGAAAUUGGAGCUUACAGCACUUUGAAAACUGUGAUAAUCGGAUCCACAAUCAAAGGCCACAAAAGGUAACUAUUGCCAACUCUGAAAAACAAUUAAGAU